GUGAAUCAUCAAAUUUUUGAACGCAAAUUGCACUCUCCUCGGAGAGUAUGCCUGUUUGAGGGCCAGCCUUUAAAAAUAGACAUCGGCGCUGUUUGGCGGAGGCGUUGGUCAGCAAUUGGGUCAUCUUAAAUCCUUUGGAUCUAAUAGACUUAAAAUUGAAUGUUGUUUUCAUGAACGGUU
Molecule: unclassified non-coding RNA, 180 nt
Filed under: Glomeromycota sp.
Lineage: Eukaryota; Fungi; Glomeromycota
Description: partial contains 5.8S ribosomal RNA and internal transcribed spacer 2
Rfam family: 5.8S ribosomal RNA (bases 1-65)
Source: RNAcentral